Molecule: long non-coding RNA, 704 nt
Organism: Lolium perenne
Lineage: Eukaryota; Viridiplantae; Streptophyta; Magnoliopsida; Poales; Poaceae
Source: RefSeq, a predicted model, not a curated record
GAGGAAAGAAGUCACGGCAGCAAUACAAUCAGACAGAGUCAACCACACACCAGCUUCCAUCUUGUCUUUUUCGUGGGCACAGCAGGAGAGGAGCGUGAUCAUCCUCGCCGCUCGACCAGCCUCCUCUCAACCACUCCCUGUCUCUUCUUGUUUUUCCCAUCUCCAGAGAACCCUAGUUUGCUUCCUCCCUUGCGCCGCCGUUUCCCUUCUGUCUGUUCUCCACGCAAACAGCAGACAAAGAACACACUUCAGAUAGUUUGGAAGAUUCAGAGAACGGAGAUCCUCGCCGGAGAAAAUCGACGACAACGUCAGCGUUUUCUUCUCCGACCCCAGAAGAAAAUUGGGGUUUCCAUCGCCACCGUGUUCCCCCAUUGUUUUUGAGCGGGGAUUCGUGUUCCUGAUCGUCAUCGCCGGCGCCGCUAUGGUGGUUCCCGAGCCCAGCUAAGGCCUCCCUUCGGUUCGCCUCGUCAACGCACAUCUCCUGGCGCAAGGAAUUGGAAGGACGUGCUCCAGAUCGACGUCGCCGUCCUCGACUUGCCGCAGUCACCGUCGCGUCUCCUUCCUCCUCUUCAUCGAAUCCGUCUUCCCCGAGCUCCACCGCUUCGCCAGCUUCCUCCUGCAUUUGCUUCUUCCCGGAUAGGAUCACGAAGUGGUGAUGUGAGAUACGACGAGUUCUCCGACAAGUUCUUCUGCAACUUUUCACA